UGCAUCAGUAGGGAAUAACCCGGGGCGCUCGCGUGGCAGGCGAGCAUUCUACAAACUGAACCACCGAUGA
This 70-nucleotide transfer RNA is filed under the name Cordylochernes scorpioides. RNAcentral's name for it is "tRNA-Gly". Lineage: Eukaryota; Metazoa; Arthropoda; Arachnida; Pseudoscorpiones; Chernetidae. The record is from RNAcentral.